Dalotia coriaria is the source of this 4807-nucleotide long non-coding RNA. RefSeq lists it as uncharacterized. The transcript is spliced from 8 exons. NCBI's taxonomy places the organism in Eukaryota, Metazoa, Arthropoda, Insecta, Coleoptera, Staphylinidae. The record is from RefSeq and is a predicted model, not a curated record.
UGCCCAGUUGUUGCGUAGCCGGCACGCAACUCUAACUUCGAGCAAUAGGUAAUAAUCCGUAAAUGGAUAAUCGUGUUUCGUGUUGUAAAUUCGUUAUAUCGCGUUAUAUUUGCUGGAAUUUAGUGUUAAUAGACGGGUUAUAGUCGCUAAAUAUUUAUCGCGAUCGUUUGCCGUCGGAUGCCAGUCGGCCAUGUUGUGUAAUUGUAAAUAAUACUUUGGAGUUGUGCGAACCAUUUUUGUCUUCAGCAGAACACGACGAGCGGCUGUUCUACUUGUACUUGCUGUGCCCUGGCAAACCAAUGAGCUGCAUUGAGUAACGGUGAAAAACGAGCGAUAUUAGAGUGUUUAGAUGUUUUCCUGACAACGAUUCUUUCAUCGGAUUGUGUCUAGCGGGCGAAUUAAAUGUCCUAGGACAAUGAUUCUUUCAUCAGAUUGUGUCUAGCGGCGAAUGAAAUGUCCUAGGGCAACGAUUCUUUCAUCAGAUUGUGUCUAGCGGGCGAAUGAAAUGUCCUAGGACAACGAUUCUUUCAUCAGAUUGUAUCUAGCGGGCGAACGAAAUAUCGUAGGACAGCGAUUCUUUCACCAAAUUGUAAGUAUUAAAAUUCUUUAUUAUUCGAAAUUUUUUGGUCGAAUUUUUUUGUUAGAAUUUUUUCGGUUGUAUUUUUUUGUUAAAAUUUUUUCGAUCGAUUUUUUUCUUGUAAUAAAAUUUUCGGUCGAAUUUUUUUGUAAAAAAUGUUGUGGUCGAAUUUUUUGAUAGUUUUUUCGGUCGAAUUUUUUUGUAAAAAAAUUUUCGCUCGAUUUUUUUUUGUAAACAAUGUUUUGGUAGAAUUUUUUUGAUAGUUUUUUUCGGUCGAAUUAAAAAAAAACUUUUGGUCGAAUGUUUUUGUUAAAAUUUUUUGGGUCGAAUUUUUUUGUUAAAAAUUUUUUGGUAGUUCUUUUUAAUUUUUACGGUAAAAUUUUUUUGUUUAAAGUUUUUCGGUCGAAUUUUUUUGUUAGAUUUUUUUCCAUCGAAUUUUUUUGUUAAAAUUUUUUCGGUCAAAAAGCAGGAUCGAAUUUUUUUACAUGAAAAUUUUUCGGUCAAAGAACAGGGUCGAACUAUUUUGUUAAAAUGUUUUUCGAUCAAAGAACAGAGUCGAAUUUUUUGGCGAUUAUGUCAAGAAUCAAGAAAAUAAGUUACUAAAAUAAUCGAUGUAGGAUUAAAUUAUCUAUCAGGUUUCCGAUUUAAAAUAUAAUCGAAAUUAAUAGUUCCAUGCAUAGUGCGAGUACAGUUCGAUUCAUGUUCUGCACUACCACAUUGAAAGUGUCAGUGUUUACAAACAAACAUGUUUUCUUACGUCGUGCAAUUUUUGUGCGAUCGCCACGCGGUUGGCUUGUGUAUCACGUUAGUCUCAUUUUUGUCGUUAGGUGAUGUGCGUAAUGUUUCUUCGAUUGUGCGCGAUUGAUGUGCGGGGUUCGUACGAGUACCACGCGGAUUGUACAUACUCAGAGGUAAAACGUGAGUGAUGUUCCGUCGGCCGUCGUAUUUUUUUUGUAUUAUACGCGUAUUUCAUCAAUGUGCAUAAUUAAGGUCCAUACAACUUAUUGGAUAUACCAAAACAAAAAUUUAUUUUGCAUCAAGGUAUGUUCUCGCAUUUUUUCAGCCAUUUGAAAAUCAAAUUCAUUAUUGACUUUACUUGUUUCCGCUUUUCCAAUUGUUUUACAUGAUUCAAAAUAAAAUUCUGUUUUGUGCUUUAAUUUUUAAAUUUGGUUUUGUUUUUGUUAGAUUCCGAAAGUAAAUUAAAUUCUGAAUGCAGUAACACAAUUAUAGAUUAAGGCCCUAUUGACAUGUAAAAACCAAUUUUUGUAUUAAAAAUCACGAAGUAUAGAUAAAAGGAGUCCGAACGUCAUGUUAAAUUAAUGGUCACGAUCUAGGGGACCAAACAUUCGCCAAUAGAGCGCGCCACUAUGCGUUAGUGUACGCGUUUAAAUACUUUACUAUGGACACCGCCGGAAAAAAAUUCAACAUGAAACUAGGGAUAAUCCGUGACACGAAGUAUAGAUACCGAGAUAAUCUGAAAAGCAAAAAAAAAUCAGAUAUUAAUUAAUAACCAUAAAAAAAAUAUCAGGAACCACACCAUUUUAUUCAAAAAUAAAAAAAAAAGAAGAAUGCAAUGAAAAGGUUUAUAAAUAAAUUAAGUAAAUAAAUACAAAUUGCUUUAAUUUUUAUUAAUAUAAUUUAGAUAGCUUCCGGCAUUUUUUAGUUUUAACUGUCCUCUCGGUAGCACAUUUGUUGAAACAUUUGGCUAGAAAAUGUCCUCGCAUUAUUAAAAAAUUAUUAAUUAUUUUUUUGGUCAAAUUUUUUUUAUGGUCUUCACAGCCAACAAAAAUUGUGAUUUUCCUUUUUAAAACUUCGUCCAGUAUUUCAAACAUGGUAUCAAUUUUGACUGUUUUUGUGCCUACAACCAUUAGCACAAUUUCUUCCAAGCUUGAAAUUAAAUGAAACAACGAUUCACUUGGAUAAAUUAACGCCCCUUUGUCCAUAUAUGUUAUAUAUUUGUCCUGAGCCUUCACUGUUCUUGUGUGCAUAGCUUUCGUGCAAUCGAAGCAUUUGGAAAAUCUACUUAUUUUACGGGCUAUAUAUCCCGCAAUAUAGGAAAUGACAUAGUGGCUACUUUGUGCAAUGUCAUAAUCAUGGUCCACCGAGCUUAAUAAUACUCCAUUGUCAUUGUCAUUUGUCAUCGCUGGUAUUUCCGUCUGUAUUGUUAAGGUUUCCAGAUGCAUUUUCAAUUGUUGCAUCAAUUUUCUUGCUCCAGUUGUCCUUAUUUGUAUUACUUGCUUCAAAUGAUUCCAUAGUCUGCAUUAGGGAACAUAACAACUCUCCUGCAGUCACAUUGGAUCCUUUUGGAGGUGUUGGUAGUAGAAGAAUACUAUUUAAGUAAUUAAAUUAAUUCCAAUGAUUUCCAUUUAAGCUUCUUACCAUUACUUUCAAAUUUGCAUCAAUUUUAACAUGACAAACUAAUUCCAAUUUUGAACUUAUAUAUGACAACGAAAUUAAAGAAUUUAUUACGACUGUCCAACACCAAUUCUUUCGCAGUGGCUGAGUUUCUAAUAUAUUUUGGAUUGAAUGAAAAGAAAAUUCCUCAGUCUUAUUUAUGACCAGUAAAUUGUCAUCAUUAAUAACAGUAUUUGCACCAUCUGGAAAAUUUGUAUUUGCCGAAUUUACAUUUUCAGGCUCAAUCACUUCAUUUAUAAUUUCAUGUAUAGUAAUUAUUUCCCCUAAAUUAUGAUUGCAGUCACCAAUUAUUGAAUGAUCAACAAUAUCUAUAUCAAUUAUAUUUUCGUUGCUAUCACUAAUAAUAUUAGACUUAGGUUCCGCUUCCUUCUUUAAAUGAACUCUUUGAAAUUCAUGUACAUAUCCAGUACCAUCUUUUAGAACCGUUCGAUCAGUUUUAAUCACAUCCUCUGGAUUAAAAUGUAAUUCACAAAUAUAGCUGCUAGCUUUCAAAUUUUUGCCAAGAGCAGAACUCCAUUUCCUGAACAAUUUUGGGUCCUUAAAAAAGAAUUAUAUUUCAAUAUUUCACAAGAUACAUGAGAUUACAACAUAUUUUUAAAUCUUAGGGCUAUUAGUUAUAAAUUAAUUGUUUAUAACACAUAUUUUUCAAAGAUAUUACUCACCUUUGGUGCUUUGAAUAAAACUACUUUUUCUACCUUCUCACUGGUCUUUCGGCCACUAAAACAUCUUGGAAUAGCACAACACCUUCCCAUGUUUUCAACACUACUAAUUUUCAAUAAAUAAAUUAGUUCAAAAAAAUAAUACUAUCACGUUCCAAUUCAAAUUAAUGUAUACAUACAUAUAAAAGUUAAAAAUGUAUUUGUAAAUUUAAUUGAAUUCAAUUAAACAUUCACAAUCCAGCACGUGUUCAUGUGUAAUAAUAAUCACGAAGUAUCUAAACACACGAACGUCAUGUAAACAAAUUGUCUAAAUGUUGCUAUGAACACGAACCAACGUACAUCGAUUCACUAGUGAUUCAAGCGCACCCAGUGGCAGAAAGGUGAACUAUUAGCUUUGUAUAUAAUUGUGAACCAUGACUACGACGAAAAAGCCUAUACCGUUCGGACUCCUUUUAUCUAUACUUCGUGUUAAAAAUGUACAAUGAUACACCAAUACAUAAAUAAUAAAAGUAUACUAUACUACAAUUAUCUACCUGGUGUCCCCAACUAGAUGCUGACAAUUCUCUUUCCUGCUUAGUCGGUCGUGCGCGGUGGUGUCGUGAGCACGUGUUUUGUUCGUAGCUAUUAAUCGCGUUUCUGGUGAUUUUGAUUUAGUAGUGGCAUGAACGACAAUGUAUUUCAGCGAGCGCGGCUGAACGUUAAUGAAUUAUUGCUCGUGAUACCUGCUAUUGAGUGACUUUAUCUGAACAUUUGUGUCUACUGUCGAAUACCGCCCGGUUGUUGGCUUGUGCUUCUCAUUUGUGGUGUUCCGAACACAGGUUGAAGGAUUUUAUGAUGCAAUUUGGAACGUAUUCAUUAAAUUUUAUAUUAAUUUGGUUUGAUAUAAUGUGUGGUGAAACUAUUUUCUGUAAACUAAACAUGUUUGGUCCAUGAGGCAUUUUCCGUAUCCUUCUAAUGCUGCCAAAAUGUUACUACAGUGAGUAGUAACAUCAAUUCUACUAACAAUUCUACUUUGUGUGUAACGUUUGAUAACAGAGCGAUGUGGCUCGAUGGUACGUAGGAUAUGCCUUGGAUCGUACGUACGUUCGUUUUAUUAAAAAAAGAAAGAAGAAUGUAUUGUUAAACAUAAUUAAUAAAACUCAAUUUAAAAUUAAAA